This 339-nucleotide unclassified non-coding RNA is filed under the name soil metagenome. Its description in RNAcentral is "partial contains 5.8S ribosomal RNA, internal transcribed spacer 2, and large subunit ribosomal RNA". The stretch from base 1 to 120 matches the Rfam family "5.8S ribosomal RNA", at positions 35 to 154 of the family's 154-position model. The record is from RNAcentral.
GAUGAAGAACGUAGCGAAAUGCGAUAAGUAGUGUGAAUUGCAGAAUUCAGUGAAUCAUCGAAUCUUUGAACGCACAUUGCGCCCCUCGGUAUUCCGGGAGGUAUGCCUGUUCGAGCGUCAUUUGUACCCUCAAGCUCUGCUUGGUGUUGGGUGUUUGUUCCGCCUCUGUGUGUGAACUCGCCUCAAAACAAUUGGCAGCCGGCGUACUUGUUUCGGAGCGCAGCACAUUUUGCGAUCCAGAUCAACGUACAGCGGCAUCCAAGAAGCCUUAUUUAACGCUCUUGACCUCGGAUCAGGUAGGGAUACCCGCUGAACUUAAGCAUAUCAAUAAGCGGAGGA